GCGGCCAUGGUUUAGUGGUAGGACGGCUCCUUGCCAAGGAGCAGGCGGGGUUUCGAUUACCCCUGGCCGCACCG
RNAcentral lists this transfer RNA (74 nucleotides) under Parcubacteria group bacterium RIFCSPHIGHO2_01_FULL_45_26. RNAcentral describes it as "tRNA-Gly". It matches the Rfam family "tRNA". Rfam says of the family: Transfer RNA (tRNA) molecules are approximately 80 nucleotides in length. The record is from RNAcentral.